AACAUCUCCUAUCCCUUGAAAGAGACAUGUUCAGAGACUUGUGUCAAAGUGGUUCUAAAGCUCAUUCAGUUGAGUCAAGAUUCACCACCUGUGGUGGCUCGCCUUGGUUGUCGGCUUGAUUACAUCUGGAAUGAACUACAAUCCAGAAGUGGAGGGCACACCUAUGAAAAGUUAACCUGGACGAGCG
Long non-coding RNA from Mastomys coucha (southern multimammate mouse), 187 nucleotides. RefSeq lists it as uncharacterized. NCBI's taxonomy places the organism in Eukaryota, Metazoa, Chordata, Mammalia, Rodentia, Muridae. The transcript has 3 exons. The record is from RefSeq and is a predicted model, not a curated record.